UAGGGAAUCUUCGGCAAUGGGGGCAACCCUGACCGAGCAACGCCGCGUGAGUGAAGAAGGUUUUCGGAUCGUAAAGCUCUGUUGUAAGAGAAGAACGUGUGUGAGAGUGGAAAGUUCACACAGUGACGGUAACUUACCAGAAAGGGACGGCUAACUACGUGCCAGCAGCCGCGGUAAUACGUAGGUCCCGAGCGUUGUCCGGAUUUAUUGGGCGUAAAGCGAGCGCAGGCGGUUUAAUAAGUCUGAAGUUAAAGGCAGUGGCUUAACCAUUGUUCGCUUUGGAAACUGUUAAACUUGAGUGCAGAAGGGGAGAGUGGAAUUCCAUGUGUAGCGGUGAAAUGCGUAGAUAUAUGGAGGAACACUGGUGGCGAAAGCGGCUCUCUGGUCUGUAACUGACGCUGAGGCUCGAAAGCGUGGGGAGCAAACAGG
This 429-nucleotide ribosomal RNA is filed under the name bacterium. RNAcentral's name for it is "partial 16S ribosomal RNA". It matches the Rfam family "Bacterial small subunit ribosomal RNA", at positions 355 to 776 of the family's 1533-position model. The record is from RNAcentral.